GACGUAGGGGGCGAGCGUUAUCCGGAUUUACUGGGCGUAAAGGGCGCGUAGGCGGAGCGUUUCGCCACCUUUGAAAGGAGCAGGCUUAACCUGUUCAGGGAGGUGGAACGAGCGUUCUAGGGGCAAGCAGAGGAAGGUGGAAUUCCGGGUGGAGUGGUGAAAUGCGUAGAGAUCCGGAGGAACACCAGGGGCGAAGGCGGCCUUCUGGGCUUGACCCGACGCUGAGGCGCGAAAGCGUGGGGAGCGAACUGA
Molecule: ribosomal RNA, 252 nt
Filed under: uncultured bacterium
Lineage: Bacteria
Description: partial 16S ribosomal RNA
Rfam family: Bacterial small subunit ribosomal RNA
Source: RNAcentral